CUGUUAAAUUAAAGUUAAGCCUAUAUAUUCUCGCAAUACGGGCGAGAGUCUCUACCCUGAACCGUAAAUUCAGGACUAUAAGCAGCCAAAAAGUCGUC
This is a regulatory RNA element of 98 nucleotides. It matches the Rfam family "Purine riboswitch aptamer". From Rfam's summary of the family: Riboswitches are metabolite binding domains within certain messenger RNAs that serve as precision sensors for their corresponding targets. The record is from Rfam.